GGGAAAGCAUAAGGGAGAAGGGGAGUCCAUAAAGAAAGAACAAGAAGGUGGCCCUGAAAAAUAAGCAGCCGGAGAACACCAAGCUUAUCGUGGAAUUUCUAAACAAAAUGUUGUCAACACCUGAGAAAAUUGCUGUACUUUACACAUGGAUUCCAUUAUCGGAAUUGGAGAUCCUAGCAAUAGAAAAUCAAGGGGGUGUACUAUAUUGUUGGCCAAAGGUUAAACUUUCAGAGGAGUUUGUCAAUAAUUUGGCCAUGCGGUGUCGAAGUAUUUGCCCAUGAGGUUACACCUUCAAGGGUGACACUGAGGAAGCAUUCAGAUGCAUAGAUAUAAGAG
Molecule: long non-coding RNA, 336 nt
Organism: Triticum dicoccoides
Lineage: Eukaryota; Viridiplantae; Streptophyta; Magnoliopsida; Poales; Poaceae
Exons: 3
Source: RefSeq, a predicted model, not a curated record